Molecule: ribosomal RNA, 484 nt
Filed under: uncultured bacterium
Lineage: Bacteria
Description: partial 16S ribosomal RNA
Rfam family: Bacterial small subunit ribosomal RNA
Source: RNAcentral
AUUGAACGCUGGCGGCAGGCCUAACACAUGCAAGUCGAGCGGAUGAAGGGAGCUUGCUCCUGGAUUCAGCGGCGGACGGGUGAGUAAUGCCUAGGAAUCUGCCUGGUAGUGGGGGAUAACGUCCGGAAACGAGCGCUAAUACCGCAUACGUCCUGAGGGAGAAAGUGGGGGAUCUUCGGACCUCACGCUCUCAGAUGAGCCUAGGUCGGAUUAGCUAGUUGGUGGGGUAAAGGCCUACCAAGGCGACGAUCCGUAACUGGUCGGAGAGGAUGAUCAGUCACACUGGAACUUGGACACGGUCCAGACGCCUACGGGAGGCAGCAGUGGGGAAUAUUGGACAAUGGGCGAAAGCCUGGUCCAGCCAUGCCGCGUGUGUGAAGAAGGUCUUCGGAUUGUAAAGCACUUUAAGUUGGGAGGAAGGGCAGUAAGUUAAUACCUUGCUGGUUUGACGUUACCAACAGAAUAAGCACCGGCUAACUUCGUG